GCGCAGCAGUCGCGAAAACUUCACACUGUGCGAAAGCACGAUGAGGGAAUCCCAAGUGCUUGCACGUAAGUGUAAGCUGUUUCUCUGUCUAAAACGCAGAGAGAGUAAGGGCUGGGUAAGACGGGUGCCAGCCGCCGCGGUAAUACCUGCAGCUCAAGUGGUGACCGUUAUUAUUGGGCCUAAAACGUCCGUAGCCGGUUUAAUAAAUGCCUGGGUAAAUUGUGUAGCUUAACUAUACGAAUUCCGGGUAGACUGUUAAACUUGAGACCGGGAGAAGUUAGAGGUACUCCUGGGGUAGAGGUGAAAAUUCUGUAAUCCUAGGGGGACCACCAGUGGCGAAGGCGUCUAACUAGAACGGGUCUGACGGUGAGGGACGAAGCCCUGGGGCGC
This 390-nucleotide ribosomal RNA is filed under the name uncultured microorganism. Its description in RNAcentral is "bacterial SSU rRNA". It matches the Rfam family "Archaeal small subunit ribosomal RNA", at positions 330 to 720 of the family's 1478-position model. The record is from RNAcentral.